This 585-nucleotide long non-coding RNA is filed under the name Homo sapiens (human). RNAcentral describes it as "non-protein coding lnc-RFC5-5:5". Lineage: Eukaryota; Metazoa; Chordata; Mammalia; Primates; Hominidae. The record is from RNAcentral.
GGGGAACCAGCGCCGGAUAAAAACGGGGAAGGGAGGGAGGUGAACAGAGCUGAGGGAAACCGGGAAAAGGGGAGCGAUAGAAACCGGAGUAGGGGAAGCCGGGCUCAGGGGAAAAGGGGGUGUUGGAGAGUGGUAGAGCCGGGCUGAGAGAAAAACCAAGCAGGGGAAGCGGCGAUCCGGGGAGAACGGAGAGAGGGAGACCGAGGGCUGUGGGGCUCUUCCCGCGGUUCUUGGUGUCAGCUUCAUUCAAGUCACUCUCCCGCCUCUCAUUCCUUUCUCCCCGCCUUUCUUCGCUUCCCUCCAAGUGCCCUCUCCAUUUGCCGGUCACUGGUCCCAGAGCUCCGGAUCGCAGUGGUUCCAUUUUAAAUUUCUUUGCUUCCUAACGCAACCUAUGUUUUCUACGGUAACUGAGGUUCCCGUGUUCUUUUUCACCAUGGUCUCUCCGUUUUAAUGUUUCGGGUUUUUUUACCCAGGCCCCUGUUUUAUGAGCCCUGGGUACGUCCUUCCUGUGUCCCGUUUGGCCUCCUGGGUUACACUCCUGUUCACCCCGCUUGGCCGGUUUUUUUUUUUCUUUUCUUUGAACCU